CCUGUUCCCUGUGAGCCCCUCGGGUCCUCACUGCGGCGGUGCUUCCAGUGAGCAGCUCUCUUGGGGGGUGGAGACGGUAAACCAUUGAAGUGAUAAGGAGUAACAGACUCUACCAGCCAGGAAAUGCCUCCAGGGGACAUUUUCUAACAACAGACUGAGCAAAAAGGGAGAGAAGCAAAAACAAGGACUUGGAAUGAAGUGGCCCCUUGGAGCUGACUUCCAUCUUCCCCAUCACUCCCAGCCCUCGUUGAGGAGCCACUGGCACCACUGAGCCUACAUAUCAA
Molecule: long non-coding RNA, 284 nt
Organism: Physeter macrocephalus (sperm whale)
Lineage: Eukaryota; Metazoa; Chordata; Mammalia; Artiodactyla; Physeteridae
Exons: 3
Source: RefSeq, a predicted model, not a curated record